GGGGGCAACCCUGACCGAGCAACGCCGCGUGAGUGAAGAAGGUUUUCGGAUCGUAAAGCUCUGUUGUAAGUCAAGAACGGGUGUGAGAGUGGAAAGUUCACACUGUGACGGUAGCUUACCAGAAAGGGACGGCUAACUACGUGCCAGCAGCCGCGGUAAUACGUAGGUCCCGAGCGUUGUCCGGAUUUAUUGGGCGUAAAGCGAGCGCAGGCGGUUUGAUAAGUCUGAAGUUAAAGGCUGUGGCUCAACCAUAGUUCGCUUUGGAAACUGUCAAACUUGAGUGCAGAAGGGGAGAGUGGAAUUCCAUGUGUAGCGGUGAAAUGCGUAGAUAUAUGGAGGAACACCGGUGGCGAAAGCGGCUCUCUGGUCUGUAACUGACGCUGAGGCUCGAAAGCGUGGGGAGCGAACAGGAUUAGAUACCCUGGUAGUCCACGCCGUAAACGAUGAGUGCUAGGUGUUGGAUCCUUUCCGGGAUUCAGUGCCGAAGCUAACGCAUUAAGCACUCCGCCUGGGGAGUACGACCGCAAGGUUGAAACUCAAAGGAAUUGACGGGGGCCCGCACAAGCGGUGGAGCAUGUGGUUUAAUUCGAAGCAACGCGAAGAACCUUACCAGGUCUUGACAUCCCGAUGCUAUUUCUAGAGAUAGAAAGUUACUUCGGUACAUCGGUGACAGGUGGUGCAUGGUUGUCGUCAGCUCGUGUCGUGGGAUGUUGGGUUAAGUCCCGCAACGAGCGCAACCCCUAUUGUUAGUUGCCAUCAUUCAGUUGGGCACUCUAGCGAGACUGCCGGUAAUAAACCGGAGGAAGGUGGGGAUGACGUCAAAUCAUCAUGCCCCUUAUGACCUGGGCUACACACGUGCUACAAUGGUUGGUACAACGAGUUGCGAGUCGGUGACGGCGAGCUAAUCUCUUAAAGCCAAUCUCAGUUCGGAUUGUAGGCUGCAACUCGCCUACAUGAAGUCGGAAUCGCUAGUAAUCGCGGAUCAGCACGCCGCGGUGAAUACGUUCCCGGGCCUUGUACACACCGCCCGUCACACCACGAGAGUUUGUAACACCCGAAGUCGGUGAGGUAGCCUUUUGGAGCC
Molecule: ribosomal RNA, 1084 nt
Filed under: uncultured Streptococcus sp.
Lineage: Bacteria; Bacillati; Bacillota; Bacilli; Lactobacillales; Streptococcaceae
Description: bacterial SSU rRNA
Rfam family: Bacterial small subunit ribosomal RNA
Source: RNAcentral